RNAcentral lists this ribosomal RNA (540 nucleotides) under Triticum aestivum (bread wheat). RNAcentral describes it as "partial small subunit ribosomal RNA". The record is from RNAcentral. Lineage: Eukaryota; Viridiplantae; Streptophyta; Magnoliopsida; Poales; Poaceae.
AUGAUAGACGACUUUGGGAAGGCAUCCGGCUUUUGCACAAACCUAGCGAAGUGCUCUGCACAUCUCAUCAGAUGCAGUCCGAAGCAGAUGGAUAUAGUUCCGGAGGAGCUCAAAUGCCAAACCCUCCCAUUCCCAUGCACAUACCUUGGCCUGCCACUUGGGCUACCCAAACCGUCCCCAGCUCAACUGCAGCAUUUGGUGGAUAGGGUGGCCGACAAGUUACCAAGUUGGCGAGCCUCUCUACUACACCGGAGUGGCAGAUUGGUGUUGGCAAAAACCACCUUGACAGCAAUGCCGGUGCACGCAAUGCCGGCACUUGACCUGCCUGCCAAAACAAAGUCCCAACAAAGUCCCUACUAUAAAAUACCGCGGAAUGGCAUGUGGUGGGGCUUGAAGAAACACAAAGUCCCAACAAAGUACAUUACCCUCAUCAAGGACAUGUACGAUAAUGUUGUGACAAGUGUUCGAACAAAUGAUGGCGAAACUGACGACUUCCCGAUUAAAAUAGGACUGCACCAAGGAUCCGCUUUGAGCCCUUAA